Leptopilina boulardi is the source of this 738-nucleotide long non-coding RNA. RefSeq lists it as uncharacterized. Lineage: Eukaryota; Metazoa; Arthropoda; Insecta; Hymenoptera; Figitidae. The transcript has 3 exons. The record is from RefSeq and is a predicted model, not a curated record.
UACAUGAAACAAACAUGAAAACACAACCUUAGAAAUUACCAAAAAACACCCGCGAAAAUCAUCUGUCACUUUAUUGUUUAUUUCUCAUUGAAACAAAACAUAAUAAUAAAAUCACAGUGAAUUGUUUAAAUAUUUGAUUUUUAUUGCUUGAUAUUUUUAAAAAAUAUUUUUAUUAUAAUUACUUGUAUGUUGAAAAGUGGUUGAAAAUUAUUUUCUUACUGUUGUUAUUAGUGAUUUAGAGGUUAGAAUAUAAUAUAAGUUUGAUAAUUAUUUACAAUCAAAUUUUCGUGCAAUUUUAUUAAUAAUAACAAUUGAGAUAAACAUAUAAUUAACUUUAUUAUAUCUAUCAAAAAUAUAAAAACGUUUUUUUAAAAAAAAAGAAUCACAUGUUGAUUUCUAAAGGUCUGACUAUUCAUAUGUCACACUACUGACUAUUCUACUUCGAAGCAAUGACUUUGUUAUUAUAAAUAAUUGUAAAAUCUCAUCAAUUUUUUUGAUUUCAUAAAAUCCUGAGAAGAUGAAACAUAAAAUAUACAGGGAAAUUCCUUUUAAUAGACUCUGCGAAUUAUCAUCACUAUUUAAACAAGAGUCAGAAAAAACGGAUAUACGAAUUUUUGUCUGCAAAAUAUACAAAUAUUUGGUUUUUUUUAGGAGUAUAAUAAUCACUUACCAUUUUUGUAUUUAUUAUAUCCUUUUAACGGAUAAAGACUCCUUUAAUCAUAGCAUAAAAUACGAAAG